UCGGGAAUUUUGGGCAAUGGGCGAAAGCCUGACCCAGCAACGCCGCGUGAAGGAUGAAGUAUUUCGGUAUGUAAACUUCGAAAGAAUAGGAAGAAUAAAUGACGGUACUAUUUAUAAGGUCCGGCUAACUACGUGCCAGCAGCCGCGGUAAUACGUAGGGACUAAGCGUUGUUCGGAUUUACUGGGCGUAAAGGGCGCGUAGGCGGCAAUUCAAGUCAUCUGUGAAAUCUCCGGGCUUAACUCGGAACGGUCAGAUGAUACUGCUUUGCUAGAGUGCAGAAGGGGCAAUCGGAAUUCUUGGUGUAGCGGUGAAAUGCGUAGAUAUCAAGAGGAACACCUGAGGUGAAGACGGGUUGCUGGGCUGACACUGACGCUGAGGCGCGAAAGCCAGGGGAGCAAACGGGAUUAGAUACCCGAGUAGUCCCUGAGCGGGCUGGCAAGGCGCAU
Molecule: ribosomal RNA, 447 nt
Filed under: uncultured bacterium
Lineage: Bacteria
Description: bacterial SSU rRNA
Rfam family: Bacterial small subunit ribosomal RNA
Source: RNAcentral